This 246-nucleotide ribosomal RNA is filed under the name Staphylococcus aureus. Its description in RNAcentral is "partial 16S ribosomal RNA". It matches the Rfam family "Bacterial small subunit ribosomal RNA", at positions 548 to 788 of the family's 1533-position model. The record is from RNAcentral. Lineage: Bacteria; Bacillati; Bacillota; Bacilli; Caryophanales; Staphylococcaceae.
CGUAUCGGAUUAUUGGGCGUAAGCGCGCGUAGGCGGUUUUUUAAGUCUGAUGUGAAAGCCCACGGCUCAACCGUGGAGGGUCAUUGGAAACUGGAAAACUUGAGUGCAGAAGAGGAAAGUGGAAUUCCAUGUGUAGCGGUGAAAUGCGCAGAGAUAUGGAGGAACACCAGUGGCGAAGGCGACUUUCUGGUCUGUAACUGACGCUGAUGUGCGAAAGCGUGGGGAUCAAACAGGAUUAGAUACCCC